Molecule: ribosomal RNA, 459 nt
Filed under: uncultured bacterium
Lineage: Bacteria
Description: partial 16S ribosomal RNA
Rfam family: Bacterial small subunit ribosomal RNA
Source: RNAcentral
CCUACGGGUGGCAGCAGUGAGGAAUAUUGGUCAAUGGCCGGGAGGCUGAACCAGCCAAGUCGCGUGAGGGAAGACGGCCCUACGGGUUGUAAACCUCUUUUGUCAGGGAGCAAGGUGCAGGUCGGGACCUGCUGUGAGAGUACCUGAAGAAAAAGCAUCGGCUAACUCCGUGCCAGCAGCCGCGGUAAUACGGAGGAUGCGAGCGUUAUCCGGAUUUAUUGGGUUUAAAGGGUGCGUAGGCGGUUUUUUAAGUUAGUGGUUAAACGUCGGGGCUUCACCUUGAUUUGCCAUUAAUACUGUAAGACGCGAGUUCAGACGAGGUAGGCGGAAUAAGUUAAGUAGCGGUGAAAUGCUUAGAUAUAACUUAGAACUCCGAUAGCGAAGGCAGCUUACCAGACUGCGACUGACGCUGAAGCACGAGAGCGUGGGUAGCGAACAGGAUUAGAUACCCUGGUAGUC